Molecule: ribosomal RNA, 498 nt
Filed under: uncultured bacterium
Lineage: Bacteria
Description: partial 16S ribosomal RNA
Rfam family: Bacterial small subunit ribosomal RNA
Source: RNAcentral
GACGAACGCUGGCGGCGUGCCUAAUACAUGCAAGUCGAACGAGAGCGACCGGUGCUUGCACUGGUCAAUCUAGUGGCGAACGGGUGAGUAACACGUGGGUAACCUGCCCAUCAGAGGGGGAUAACAUCCGGAAACGGAUGCUAAAACCGCAUAGGUCUUCGAGCCGCAUGGCUUGAAGAGGAAAAGAGGCGCAAGCUUCUGCUGAUGGAUGGACCCGCGGUGCAUUAGCUAGUUGGUGAGGUAACGGCUCACCAAGGCCGUGAUGCAUAGCCGACCGGAGAGGGUGAUCGGCCACAUUGGGACGGAGACACGGCCCAAACUCCUACGGGAGGCAGCAGUAGGGAAUCUGCCGCAAUGGACGCAAGUCUGACGGAGCAACGCCGCGUGAGUGAAGAAGGUUUUCGGAUCGUAAAACUCUGUUGUUAGAGAAGAACAAGUGCUAGAGUAACUGUUAGCGCCUUGACGGUAUCUAACCAGAAAGCCACGGCUAACUACGUG